ACAACCCCGGGAAACUGGGGCUAAUCCCUGAUAGGUGAAGAACUCUGGAAUGAGUCUCCGCCCAAAAGACGCUUAGGUCAUGCUUUAGGCGUCGCCCAAGGAUGGGGCCGCGACCGAUCAGGUUGUUGGUGAGGUAACGGCUCACCAAGCCAUUUACCGGUACGGGCCGUGAGAGCGGGAGCCCGGAGAUGGGCACUGAGACAAGGGCCCAGGCCCUACGGGGCGCAGCAGUCGCGCAAACUUUGCAAUACACGAAAGUGUGACAGGGCUACCCCGAGUGCCGCCCGCUGAGGGUGGCUUUUACCCAGUAUAACAAGCUGGGAGAAUAAGGAGAGGGCAAGACUGGUGUCAGCCGCCGCGGUAAUACCAGCUCUCCGAGUGGUGUGGAUGUUUAUUGGGCCUAAAGCAUCCGUAGCUGGCUGAACAAGUCCUCUGUUAAACCCAACGAAUUAAUCGUUGGAUCGCGGGGGAUACUGCUCGGCUUGGGGGCGAGAGAGGCAGACGGUAUUUCCGGGGUAGGAGUGAAAUCCUAUAAUCCCGGGAAGACCACCAGUGGCGAAGGCUGUCUGCUAGAACGCGCCCGACGGUGAGGGAUGAAAGCUGGGGUAGCGAACCGGAUUAGAUACCCGGGUAGUCCCAGCUGUAAACUAUGCACGCUAGAUGUUUGGGCGGCCACGUGCCGCCCUAGUGCCGCAUGGAAGCUGUUAAGCCUGCCGCCUGGGGAGUACGAUCGCAAGAUUGAAACUUA
RNAcentral lists this ribosomal RNA (748 nucleotides) under uncultured archaeon. RNAcentral describes it as "bacterial SSU rRNA". It matches the Rfam family "Archaeal small subunit ribosomal RNA", at positions 126 to 858 of the family's 1478-position model. The record is from RNAcentral.